AGUGAACGCUGGCGGUAGGCCUAACACAUGCAAGUCGAACGGCAGCACAGUAAGAGCUUGCUCUUACGGGUGGCGAGUGGCGGACGGGUGAGGAAUACAUCGGAAUCUACUUUUUCGUGGGGGAUAACGUAGGGAAACUUACGCUAAUACCGCAUACGACCUACGGGUGAAAGCAGGGGAUCUUCGGACCUUGCGCGAUUGAAUGAGCCGAUGUCGGAUUAGCUAGUCGGCGGGGUAAAGGCCCACCAAGGCGACGAUCCGUAGCUGGUCUGAGAGGAUGAUCAGCCACACUGGAACUGAGACACGGACCAGACUCCUACGGGAGGCAGCAGUGGGGAAUAUUGGACAAUGGGCGAAAGCCUGAUCCAGCAAUACCGCGUGGGUGAAGAAGGCCUUCGGGUUGUAAAACCCUGUUGUUGGGGAAGAAAAGCAGCAGGUUAAUACCCCGCUGUUCUGACGGUACCCAAAGAGUAAGCACCGGCUAACUUCGUG
Molecule: ribosomal RNA, 492 nt
Filed under: uncultured bacterium
Lineage: Bacteria
Description: partial 16S ribosomal RNA
Rfam family: Bacterial small subunit ribosomal RNA
Source: RNAcentral